RNAcentral lists this long non-coding RNA (1202 nucleotides) under Gossypium barbadense (sea-island cotton). RNAcentral describes it as "long non-coding RNA (GBAR_LNC021404)". Lineage: Eukaryota; Viridiplantae; Streptophyta; Magnoliopsida; Malvales; Malvaceae. The record is from RNAcentral.
CUAUUACGUGGUUGCUUUGUAGCUAGAAGUUUUUGGGUGGGUUUUAUUUACUAACAAAUGAUAUUGACGUGAGUGGUUUGUAUAAUUUUCAAAGUGAUAAGUAAGAUAUGUUUCACCAUUUCUCAUAUUUAAUGUACUAAUUAAUUAGAUAUUGUUUUUUUUUAAAAUUUCUUAAGGUAUCUAUCAGAGCAAAUUUGAUAAUUAAUCUUUUACAUUCUGUAGGGCUAUUAAGGGGUAGAUGUUGGUUACGAGUUUUAAAGCUGCUCCAUACCAGGGUGAGGAUUAAACCCUCGACCACUGAUUAAGGUAGUAGAGACUCUUACCGUCUCACUUAACUCUCGUGAUUAAUUAAAUAUUAUUUUUAAUCCAAAGUCAUAUAGCUUUUGGAAAAUUAAAUAUUGUUAGUUCUUUCCAAUAAGAUUAGUCAAGAUUUUGAUGCUAACGACCUCCUUUUACCAUAAAAAUUUCCACACCCGACUUGACUUUAAACAAAUGCAUUCUAUUUUGAAGUAAUUCCUUCCUUCCUUCUUCUUCUUCUUCUUCUUCUUCAUUGGGGCAUCAACAGGUUUUUUUCUUCAUAGCGUUGGAGAUGGGGGAGUUCUGCAUAAACCUAGACGUGGAUAUCAUGGGACUUGUCCUUGCACUUGUUAUUGCCAUCGCCCUCAUGCUCACCUGUGUCAACCAACCUCCACGCGCACGCCCCCGCCCAGCUAUGGUUGUCACUCAUCGUAUAGCUUGGUAAGGGCUCAAGCAAGGGCUCUUCUUCAUCAUCAUCAUCAUCAUCAAUAGGCUUGUUUCUUUUGGAGUUUGUUUUUUUUUUUCAAGUUUCAUGGGAUAGUUUUUCAUGUUUUUGAGAAUUGGGAUUGUGCCAAUGAACUGAUAAAAGGGUUUAAAAAGUUGAUCUAAAUUUUGUAAUAGAGUUUACAAACUCCUUUAAUGUUAUUGUAUUCUCAGAUUAAAGUGAGUGUUUGUUGAUGUAAUGUAAGACAGAAAUAAAAGAGGCAAAACAGUAAAAGCAAAUUUGUAGUGAAUAAAAUUAUUUGCUGUCAAACAUUUGUAACAAAAAUCAACCAAAUUUCCAAUACACAUAUACUUUCAAUACUUACAAAAUCCCUCAAUUUCAGUUCUCCCAACAGAGGUGGAUGACUGCUUCUGGAUCAAAAUCCAAGACAAUCAACUAAAUUUUGAAAUAUUUAUUGUUU